AACGCUGGCGGCGUGCCUAAUACAUGCAAGUCGAACGAACUCUGGUAUUGAUUGGUGCUUGCAUCAUGAUUUACAUUUGAGUGAGUGGCGAACUGGUGAGUAACACGUGGGAAACCUGCCCAGAAGCGGGGGAUAACACCUGGAAACAGAUGCUAAUACCGCAUAACAACUUGGACCGCAUGGUCCGAGUUUGAAAGAUGGCUUCGGCUAUCACUUUUGGAUGGUCCCGCGGCGUAUUAGCUAGAUGGUGGGGUAACGGCUCACCAUGGCAAUGAUACGUAGCCGACCUGAGAGGGUAAUCGGCCACAUUGGGACUGAGACACGGCCCAAACUCCUACGGGAGGCAGCAGUAGGGAAUCUUCCACAAUGGACGAAAGUCUGAUGGAGCAACGCCGCGUGAGUGAAGAAGGGUUUCGGCUCGUAAAACUCUGUUGUUAAAGAAGAACAUAUCUGAGAGUAACUGUUCAGGUAUUGACGGUAUUUAACCAGAAAGCCACGGCUAACUACGUGCCAGCAGCCGCGGUAAUACGUAGGUGGCAAGCGUUGUCCGGAUUUAUUGGGCGUAAAGCGAGCGCAGGCGGUUUUUUAAGUCUGAUGUGAAAGCCUUCGGCUCAACCGAAGAAGUGCAUCGGAAACUGGGAAACUUGAGUGCAGAAGAGGACAGUGGAACUCCAUGUGUAGCGGUGAAAUGCGUAGAUAUAUGGAAGAACACCAGUGGCGAAGGCGGCUGUCUGGUCUGUAACUGACGCUGAGGCUCGAAAGUAUGGGUAGCAAACAGGAUUAGAUACCCUGGUAGUCCAUACCGUAAACGAUGAAUGCUAAGUGUUGGAGGGUUUCCGCCCUUCAGUGCUGCAGCUAACGCAUUAAGCAUUCCGCCUGGGGAGUACGGCCGCAAGGCUGAAACUCAAAGGAAUUGACGGGGGCCCGCACAAGCGGUGGAGCAUGUGGUUUAAUUCGAAGCUACGCGAAGAACCUUACCAGGUCUUGACAUACUAUGCAAAUCUAAGAGAUUAGACGUUCCCUUCGGGGACAUGGAUACAGGUGGUGCAUGGUUGUCGUCAGCUCGUGUCGUGAGAUGUUGGGUUAAGUCCCGCAACGAGCGCAACCCUUAUUAUCAGUUGCCAGCAUUAAGUUGGGCACUCUGGUGAGACUGCCGGUGACAAACCGGAGGAAGGUGGGGAUGACGUCAAAUCAUCAUGCCCCUUAUGACCUGGGCUACACACGUGCUACAAUGGAUGGUACAACGAGUUGCGAACUCGCGAGAGUAAGCUAAUCUCUUAAAGCCAUUCUCAGUUCGGAUUGUAGGCUGCAACUCGCCUACAUGAAGUCGGAAUCGCUAGUAAUCGCGGAUCAGCAUGCCGCGGUGAAUACGUUCCCGGGCCUUGUACACACCGCCCGUCACACCAUGAGAGUUUGUAACACCCAAAGUCGGUGGGGUAACCUUUUAGGAACCAGCCGCCUAAGGUGGGACAGAUGAUUAGGG
This 1483-nucleotide ribosomal RNA is filed under the name Lactiplantibacillus plantarum. RNAcentral describes it as "bacterial SSU rRNA". It matches the Rfam family "Bacterial small subunit ribosomal RNA". Lineage: Bacteria; Bacillati; Bacillota; Bacilli; Lactobacillales; Lactobacillaceae. The record is from RNAcentral.